RNAcentral lists this ribosomal RNA (253 nucleotides) under uncultured bacterium. RNAcentral describes it as "partial 16S ribosomal RNA". It matches the Rfam family "Bacterial small subunit ribosomal RNA", at positions 524 to 776 of the family's 1533-position model. The record is from RNAcentral.
UACGGGGGGGGCAAGCGUUGUUCGGAAUCACUGGGCGUAAAGCGCACGUAGGCGGCUUUUUAAGUCAGGGGUGAAAUCCUGGAGCUCAACUCCAGAACUGCCUUUGAUACUGAGAAGCUUGAGUCCGGGAGAGGUGAGUGGAACUGCGAGUGUAGAGGUGAAAUUCGUAGAUAUUCGGAAGAACACCAGUGGCGAAGGCGACUCGCUGGACAGACAUUGACGCUGAGGUGCGAAAGCGUGGGGAGCAAACAGG